Saccostrea cuccullata (small rock oyster) is the source of this 757-nucleotide long non-coding RNA. RefSeq lists it as uncharacterized. NCBI's taxonomy places the organism in Eukaryota, Metazoa, Mollusca, Bivalvia, Ostreida, Ostreidae. The transcript is spliced from 3 exons. The record is from RefSeq and is a predicted model, not a curated record.
AGACUGUAAUGAAAGUUAGUUAAAAUAAAAUAACUUUAAAUUACUUACUCAAAAUUUAGUAAAACUUCAAAUAAAUUUCACUCAGCAUAAAAAGACCAUUCGAUUCACCUGGCUGCAUUACGUAGAACCUGAAUGAGAACGAAAUCCGAAUUUACUCUGAAAGAUUUCGUUGCAAGUUGAAUUAUCAAUAAAUAUGUGCAUUAUAAACUCAAAAUAUGACAAACAAUUAACAAAACAUACAUAUUUAUCAUUGUUUUAAGGAAUUAGAUCACAAUCAGUCAAAAGGAAAGUCUGGAACAAACCAUAGAAAGGAGCUCUCGCUGACUCGGACUCUGACUCGUUUUUUUCUGUAACAGGAAGUGGUGCAAAUGGAACCUGGCUAUUCAGUUUCGUAUUCACCAAAGAAUCGGGAAAUACCUUAAUUUUUAUAAUAUUCGUCGUUCAUAUUUUAAUCUUGAAAAUGUAUCUUCGCUUCAAAGACGAACGCUGAUGACUAUGUGAUAUAAAUUUACUUCAUGGAACCAAAGCUAGUUUUUUAUGGAAGGCCGUACGUCACAAAUUACGUCAUCAUGCGGAUCAGAAACAGACUAGAAAGAGCAGAAUGUUUUCAAUUGCAUAUUUUCUGUAUUUGCAGGGCACUCCAUUAUACCACACUGAUAGCUUCUCCAAGAUUAUAAAUAUGAUACAUGUAAACAGGCACAGUUACCUGUCAUCACAAGGAUCAGAAUUCAAGUACCAGAAUAGUCCUAACUCCUAA